This 253-nucleotide ribosomal RNA is filed under the name uncultured bacterium. Its description in RNAcentral is "partial 16S ribosomal RNA". It matches the Rfam family "Bacterial small subunit ribosomal RNA", at positions 524 to 776 of the family's 1533-position model. The record is from RNAcentral.
UACGAGGGGGGCAAGCGUUGUUCGGAAUUAUUGGGCGUAAAGGGCGCGUAGGCGGUGCGGUAAGUCACCUGUGAAACCUCUAGGCUCAACCUAGAGCCUGCAGGCGAAACUGCCGUGCUUGAGGGUGGGAGAGGUGCGUGGAAUUCCCGGUGUAGCGGUGAAAUGCGUAGAUAUCAGGAGGAACACCAAUAGCGAAGGCAGCUCGCUGGGACGUUACUGACACUGAGGCGCGAAAGCGUGGGGAGCGAACAGG